CGACGGGUGAGUAACACGUAUGCAACCUGCCUGCCACAGCCGGAUAAUCGGGAGAAAUUCCGUCUAAUACGGCAUAAUGCAUCGACGGGACAUCCUGUUGGUGCCAAAGGUUAAUUCCGGUGGCGGAUGGGCAUGCGUCGCAUUAGUUAGUUGGCGGUGUAACGGACCACCAAGACGACGAUGCGUAGGGGUUCUGAGAGGAAGGUCCCCCACACUGGUACUGAGACACGGACCAGACUCCUACGGAAGGCAGCAG
This 256-nucleotide ribosomal RNA is filed under the name uncultured bacterium. Its description in RNAcentral is "partial 16S ribosomal RNA". It matches the Rfam family "Bacterial small subunit ribosomal RNA", at positions 100 to 354 of the family's 1533-position model. The record is from RNAcentral.